Molecule: long non-coding RNA, 702 nt
Organism: Cervus elaphus (red deer)
Lineage: Eukaryota; Metazoa; Chordata; Mammalia; Artiodactyla; Cervidae
Exons: 3
Source: RefSeq, a predicted model, not a curated record
GUGAUGCUUCCUAAGGCCCAGUCGACUUCACACUCCAGGAUGUCUGGCUCUAGGGUCCAGCAAGACACAGACGGCACACUCAAAACAGGUGGAUUCAAAGAUGGUUUUUGCACAGACUGUUUGUGAAGAUGUAGGAGAAGGGAACCCCGAGGGUCCAUCCUGCACUCAAGCUGGGCUUCACCAAGUCAACAUGGUUACCACAAGGAGCGGUGCAAGAAUUUCUGGAGGCAAAACGCACAGGAGGAUGAGUUGCAGAGCCAGAAACAAAAACCAGGAGAGAAGGUGAGCGAGCCGGCUGAGGGGUGUCGUGGAAGAGUCCAGCACAUGUGGAUUCUCCUGCAACCUGCUUUUUCAGUUAAUACCAUCUUUUUGGGAUUCAUCAAUGUUUAUGUGUUUAAUUGCAGUUCAUUCAGUUUUGCUGUUGUUUUUUAUAUUCCACUGUGGGAAUGGAUUACAGUUAAUUUACUGUUUUCCUGAUGAUGGCAACUUUCCAAUGUUUUAAUAUCUUGAUGUUGAUAUAAACAUUCUUGUCAAUGUUUUUUGAUGUCUAUGUACAAAAAUCUCUCCAGAGAAUAUACUUACAGUAGAAUUACAAUACGAGUUACAGUACUAGGACAAAUGGUCAAAUUUGCCAGAUGAUGUCAUAUUGUUCUCAAAGUAGUUUCAUCAAUUAAUACUUCUACUGGCAGUAUAUGAGUUCCU